Long non-coding RNA from Gallus gallus (chicken), 1227 nucleotides. The record is from Ensembl. Lineage: Eukaryota; Metazoa; Chordata; Aves; Galliformes; Phasianidae.
GGACAGCGCAGCUCUGUGCCCUUCAGUGCAACCGGUGGCACUUUGUUUUUCACAGAUCCUUGGAGGUACUGCAAACCACACAGGUGUUACUCUGCUUUUUGUUUCUUUUGUUCUUCAAGCAGUAGGAAGGUCCUUCAAAGAGACUCAAUCUCCUUCAAUUAGAUUCAAGGCUAUUUUUUCAGUGAUUGUUAUACUCUCAAGAGAAAACUUCAAAAUGACUUCUACCUGGGCUUUAAGUACUGGCAAGGAUUGCAGAAAGAAUGGAGAAAGCUUUAUGAUGCUCAAGAAUUGCACCUAUGUUCAACAAAAACUCUUCAUGCAAUCCCAUCUGAAAUAUCUUCAUGGCCUGUAUCGUGUAUUUUGCACAACAAACAAACAACAUGCAGAAGCAAUUUCAAAUGUUAAUGUAAGACUUCAAUUGUUGGAGACAUUAGAUGUGAUUUUGGAUUCACUCUCAUUUAUUUUACGCAAAGUGUCACAUGGAGAAUUCUUGAAUUAGCUCAGUGCAUUUCAGUCCUAUCAGUUUGUUGUACUCUCCAAAGUUCAGUUAUGAUCUUCAGUAUCAGGGAGAAAUAUCAGUAAACAGAAGCAAGAGACUUUUUCCAUUAUUUUGGGACUGUGAAGAGAAAUGAAUGACAUAUUCAUCCAGGAUCUGUGUAGGAAGUGGAGGACAUCCUUGCCGCAUGCCAGCUCCUCUGUGCAAGAAAAGAGAAUUCCACAAGCAAAACUCAAAAAGUGUAGCUACACAAGGAAAAAUGAAGAAUCCAAGUAGCCAGAUGAAUGCAUGUGCAAUUUUUGAUGACCCUUCUCUCACCAUGGCGAUGAGGCCUGGAAAGCAAAAGGUGCGGAGGUCUUCCGACCAGUGGCGUACAAGUCUGCAGCUCCAGCAGCACCCUACUGCACAAGUUACAAGCUCAGUGUUAACAGGAUAAUACGCAGAGCAUCCAGUAUCCAGCAGGAGCACAGGUACAGAACUUGACCUGAAUGUUAGCAUAAUUACUUGAAACGCUCUUGUAGUUCAAGACCGUCCCCUUCAGACAUCAUGAGAAGCCCAACUGUUCUAAAGAGCCGUGAGGGCAACAUUAAUUGCCAUACAUUUAUUAAGCAAGCAGGAGCGUGUGCAGCCAAAAAGGUGUCAUGAACAGGACAUCAUGCUGCUCCCCAGUGAUUCAGCACAGAUCUGGAGGGUUGGCUAUUAUGAGGUGAAACACAGUUUAAAUCCUUUCC